CUACGGGGGGCUGCAGGCGCGGAACCUUUACAAUGCACGCAAGUGUGAUAAGGGAACCCUAAGUGCUAUAGUUUUACUAUGGCUUUUGUUAAAAGUAAAUACUUUGACGAAUAAGCGGUGGGUAAGACUGGUGCCAGCCGCCGCGGUAACACCAGCGCCGCAAGUGGCAACCGCGUUUAUUGGGCCUAAAGCGUUCGUAGCCGGUUAGAUAAAUCUUUUGUGAAAUUGUAAGGCUUAACCUUACAACGUGCAGAAGACACUGUUUAACUAGAGACCGGGAGGAGUCAGAGGUAUUCUGGGGGGAGCGGUAAAAUGCGAUAAUCCCUAGAGGACCACCUGUGGCGAAGGCGUCUGACCAGAACGGAUCUGACGGUGAGGAACGAAAGCUAGGGGAGCGAUCCGGAUUAGAUACCCGCGUAGUC
Molecule: ribosomal RNA, 422 nt
Filed under: uncultured archaeon
Lineage: Archaea
Description: partial 16S ribosomal RNA
Rfam family: Archaeal small subunit ribosomal RNA
Source: RNAcentral